UAAAAUCACAAGUCCCAAAUUAAAUUUUAUAUUAUAUAUAUAGAGUCCGGCUACUCUGCUAUUAAUAGCACGAAGCACUUGGUGCUACCAAAUUUUUCGCCAUUAGAUCUACCUUUUUGAUCAUUUUUAUCCGUUAGAUCAUACUAUUCAACCAACCACCCAUUCAACCCUAGAGGUCCCACAUCAUCCUAACCGCACAUCUCUUAAUCCAAUGGCCAAAAACUUGGGAGCACCAAUGACUUGGUGCUAUUAAUAGCAUAGCAGUCUAGUUCUACAUAUAUAUAUUAUUUGUCUAAUAUUAAUUUUGCAAAUUACU
RNAcentral lists this long non-coding RNA (316 nucleotides) under Ananas comosus (pineapple). RNAcentral's name for it is "long non-coding RNA (ACOM_LNC014162)". The record is from RNAcentral. Lineage: Eukaryota; Viridiplantae; Streptophyta; Magnoliopsida; Poales; Bromeliaceae.